AGUGAACGCUGGCGGCGUGCCUAACACAUGCAAGUCGAACGGCAAGACAGUAAGCUUUCGCCCUUACCGUUGGCGAGUGGCGGAUGGGUGACGCGUACAUCGCAUUCUUCUUUUUCGUGGGUGACAACGUAGGGCAGCUGACACUACUAGCGCAUAUGUCCAACGGCUGAAAGCAGUAGUUCUUCACAGCUUUGCUGUCACUAUUAGCUGAUUCCGCGCCGCAUUAGCGAGUUGGUAAGGUAACGGCCUACCAAGGCGACGAUGCGUAGCUGAGCUGAGAGGAUGAUCGGCCACACUGGAACUGAGACACGGUCCAGACUCCUACGGGAGGCAGCAGUAGGGAAUAUUGGGCAAUGGGCGAAAGCCUGACCGAGCAAUGCCGCGUGAGUGAUGAAGGUCUUCGGAUUGUAAAACUCUGUUAUUAGGGAAGAAAAAAUGUGUAUGAAUCCACGGAUGUUCUGACGGUACCCAAUCAGAAAGCACCGGCUAACUACGUG
Molecule: ribosomal RNA, 497 nt
Filed under: uncultured bacterium
Lineage: Bacteria
Description: partial 16S ribosomal RNA
Rfam family: Bacterial small subunit ribosomal RNA
Source: RNAcentral